GAAGUGCGAUAAGUGUCAUGACUUGCAGAUUCCCGAGAGCUGACAAAUCUCUGAAUGCAAAUGGCGGUCGUCACAACGGCCAUGGAUUGCAGAGUGUAGUUGUUCAUACUCAUCAUCCCUCUCUUCAACGGACAUAUGACUUCCGAAGAGCAGUUGGGGAUCUGCGCUUGCGACUUCCCUCGCGAGUGUGAAGCAGCUUCAUAUGAGGGCAGAGGCAUUUCUCCUUCGAGCAAAUGCCUCUGACGCUUCGGAUUAUGCACCAUCACCAUGUGUGUGCGGAGCGAGCGGAAAUCCCUCCAUUUCGAGAAGCACGUGAAACCGUUUUUUCCAAGCCACCUCUGCGAUGCAGGAGUACCCGCUGAACUUAA
This 368-nucleotide unclassified non-coding RNA is filed under the name uncultured fungus. RNAcentral's name for it is "sequence contains ITS1". The stretch from base 1 to 99 matches the Rfam family "5.8S ribosomal RNA", at positions 50 to 154 of the family's 154-position model. Lineage: Eukaryota; Fungi. The record is from RNAcentral.